GGUCGGAUGCGGUUGUCAAUCAGGCCGUACAUGGCAGUGAAAGGUGAGCUAUUUUUAGAGGGCUAUAUAACGGCCUCGGCGCUCUCGCCUCGGACACAACGGCCACUGAGCUAAGAGCGAGACCGGAGAGUUACUUCCCUAAGAUAUGUACGCAUGCAUUGAUGGGCCCAAGUGCAUUCUGAUAUGUUUCCUUGCUGUCAGCAUUUGCCUGUGAGGUUCCACAGCGGUUCCCCACAGUAUCGCUAAUGGAAGACGCCAAAACGAGCCUAAUGACGGCCUCCUUCACUUGCAUCGACACCUCUUUGGACUGCAUAUUGAGAUUUCC
Molecule: long non-coding RNA, 325 nt
Organism: Ictalurus punctatus (channel catfish)
Lineage: Eukaryota; Metazoa; Chordata; Actinopteri; Siluriformes; Ictaluridae
Source: Ensembl